This is a non-coding RNA of Pristis pectinata (smalltooth sawfish), 74 nucleotides long. Lineage: Eukaryota; Metazoa; Chordata; Chondrichthyes; Rhinopristiformes; Pristidae. The record is from the annotation of a RefSeq genome assembly.
GUUUCUGUGGCGCAAUGGACCAGCGCGUUCGGCUGGUAACUGAAAGUUUGGUGGUUUGAGCCCACCCAGGGACG